This 817-nucleotide ribosomal RNA is filed under the name uncultured bacterium. RNAcentral's name for it is "bacterial SSU rRNA". It matches the Rfam family "Bacterial small subunit ribosomal RNA", at positions 28 to 842 of the family's 1533-position model. The record is from RNAcentral.
GAUUAACGCUAGCGGCAGGCCUAACACAUGCAAGUCGAGGGGCAGCACGAGUAGCAAUACUUGGUGGCGACCGGCGCACGGGUGCGUAACGCGUAUGUAAUCUACCCUUAACUGGGGCAUAGCUCAAAGAAAUCUGAAUUAAUUCCCCAUAACACUGCGACUAGGCAUCUAGAUGCAGUUAAAGCUCCGGCGGUUAAGGAUGAGCAUGCGUACCAUUAGCUAGUUGGUGAGGUAACGGCUCACCAAGGCUACGAUGGUUAGGGGGUCUGAGAGGAUGAUCCCCCACACUGGUACUGAGACACGGACCAGACUCCUACGGGAGGCAGCAGUGAGGAAUAUUGGUCAAUGGGCGCAAGCCUGAACCAGCCAUGCCGCGUGAAGGACGAAGGCCCUAUGGGUCGUAAACUUCUUUUGUACGGGACGAAACCCUCGAACGUGUCCGAGGCUGACGGUACCGUAAGAAUAAGCAUCGGCUAACUCCGUGCCAGCAGCCGCGGUAAUACGGAGGAUGCAAGCGUUAUCCGGAUUCACUGGGUUUAAAGGGUGCGUAGGCGGAACGGUAAGUCAGUGGUGAAAGCCUGCAGCUUAACUGCAGAACUGCCAUUGAUACUAUCGUUCUUGAGUAUGGUUGAGGUGGGCGGAAUGUGUAAUGUAGCGGUGAAAUGCUUAGAUAUUACACAGAACACCGAUUGCGAAGGCAGCUCACUAAGCCAUUACUGACGCUCAGGCACGAAAGCGUGGGGAUCAAACAGGAUUAGAUACCCUGGUAGUCCACGCCGUAAACGAUGAUCACUCGCUGUUGGCAAUAUAUUGUUCA